Non-coding RNA from Acanthosepion pharaonis, 114 nucleotides. The record is from the annotation of a GenBank genome assembly. Lineage: Eukaryota; Metazoa; Mollusca; Cephalopoda; Sepiida; Sepiidae.
UUACGGUGAUAUCACAUUGAAACACCUGUUCCCGUACGAUCACCGAAGUUAAGUAACGUCAAGCCUGGUCAGUACCUAAAUGGGUGACUGUUUGAGAAUACCAAAUGCUGUAAG